GAAGCCCCAGUAAACGGCGGCCGUAACUAUAACGGUCCUAAGGUAGCGAAAUUCCUUGUCGGGUAAGUUCCGACCUGCACGAAUGGCAUAAUGAUGGCGGCGCUGUCUCCAGCAGAGGCUCAGUGAAAUCGAAAUCGCUGUGAAGAUGCAGUGUACCCGCGGCUAGACGGAAAGACCCCGUGAACCUUUACUGCAGCUUGACACUGAACUUUGACCUUACUUGUGUAGGAUAGGUGGGAGGCUUUGAAGCUGGAACGCUAGUUCCAGUGGAGCCGUCCUUGAAAUACCACCCUGGUAAUGUUGAGGUUCUAACUCUGUCCCGUGAUCCGGGACGAGGACCGUGUCUGGUGGGUAGUUUGACUGGGGCGGUCUCCUCCUAAAGAGUAACGGAGGAGUACGAAGGUGCGCUCAGCGUGGUCGGAAAUCACGCGUAGAGUAUAAAGGCAAAAGCGCGCUUAACUGCGAGACCCACAAGUCGAGCAGGUACGAAAGUAGGUCUUAGUGAUCCGGUGGUUCUGUAUGGAAGGGCCAUCGCUCAACGGAUAAAAGGUACUCUGGGGAUAACAGGCUGAUACCGCCCAAGAGUUCAUAUCGACGGCGGUGUUUGGCACCUCGAUGUCGGCUCAUCUCAUCCUGGGGCUGAAGCAGGUCCCAAGGGUAUGGCUGUUCGCCAUUUAAAGAGGUACGCGAGCUGGGUUUAGAACGUCGUGAGACAGUUCGGUCCCUAUCUACCGUGGGCGCUGGAAAUUUGAGAGGAUCUGCUCCUAGUACGAGAGGACCAGAGUGGACGAACCUCUGGUGUACCGGUUGUGACGCCAGUCGCAUCGCCGGGUAGCUAUGUUCGGAAGGGAUAACCGCUGAAAGCAUCUAAGCGGGAAGCCUACCUCAAGAUAAGAUUUCCCUAGGACUUUAUGUCCUCUAAAGAGCCGUUCGAGACUAGGACGUUGAUAGGUUGGAUGUGGAAGCAUAGUGAUAUGUGAAGCUGACCAAUACUAAUUGCUCGUGAGGCUUGACUAU
This 1017-nucleotide ribosomal RNA is filed under the name Acinetobacter baumannii. Its description in RNAcentral is "bacterial LSU rRNA". It matches the Rfam family "Bacterial large subunit ribosomal RNA", at positions 1914 to 2925 of the family's 2925-position model. RNAcentral also lists the same sequence under 1 other name. Lineage: Bacteria; Pseudomonadati; Pseudomonadota; Gammaproteobacteria; Moraxellales; Moraxellaceae. The record is from RNAcentral.